CCUACGGGGGGCAGCAGUGGGGAAUAUUGCACAAUGGGGGAAACCCUGAUGCAGCGACGCCGCGUGAGUGAAGAAGUAAUUCGUUAUGUAAAGCUCUAUCAGCAGGGAAGAAAAUGACGGUACCUGAGUAAGAAGCCCCGGCUAACUACGUGCCAGCAGCCGCGGUAAUACGUAGGGGGCAAGCGUUAUCCGGAUUUACUGGGUGGAAAGGGAGCGUAGACGGCAGUGCAAGUCUGGAGUGAAAGGCGGGGGCUCAACCCCCGGACCGAUCUGGAAACUGUACGGCUGGAGUGCAGGAGAGGUAAGUGGAAUUCCUAGUGUAGCGGUGAAAUGCGUAGAUAUUAGGAGGAACACCAGGGGCGAAGGCGGCUUACUGGACUGUAACUGACGUUGAGGCUCGAAAGCGUGGGGAGCAAACAGGAUUAGAUACCCGGGUAGUC
RNAcentral lists this ribosomal RNA (440 nucleotides) under uncultured bacterium. RNAcentral describes it as "partial 16S ribosomal RNA". It matches the Rfam family "Bacterial small subunit ribosomal RNA", at positions 338 to 795 of the family's 1533-position model. The record is from RNAcentral.